This 473-nucleotide ribosomal RNA is filed under the name uncultured bacterium. Its description in RNAcentral is "bacterial SSU rRNA". It matches the Rfam family "Bacterial small subunit ribosomal RNA", at positions 29 to 475 of the family's 1533-position model. The record is from RNAcentral.
AACGAACGCUGGCGGCGUGGAUAAGACAUGCAAGUCGAACGCUUAUCCUUGUGUAGCAAUACAUGAGGGUAGGAGUGGCGCAAGGGUGCGUAACACGUGGGUAAUUUGCCGUGAAGUCCGGGAUAACUUGCUGAAAGGCGAGCUAAUACCGGAUGUGGAAAUUGGAAGGCAUCUUUUGAUUUCUGAAGUUGGGGACCGCAAGGCCUGACGCUUUACGAUAAGCCCGCGGCCAUCAGCUAGUUGGUGAGGUAACGGCUCACCAAGGCUAAGACGGGUAGCUGGUCUGAGAGGACGACCAGCCACACUGGAACUGAGACACGGUCCAGACACCUACGGGUGGCAGCAGUCGAGAAUUUUUCUCAAUGGGCGCAAGCCUGAAGGAGCGACGCCGCGUGUGGGAUGAAGGGUUUCGAUCCGUAAACCNCUGUCAUUUGCGAACAAACCCUGAGGUUUAAGNGAUAUCAGGCUGAUUG